CGGAGGCUGAUCAGCCUCAUUACUACCAGGUGACUGAGGGCCCCGCGGACACAGGGCUCCUCCCCCGCGUGUCCACGCGUCCACGGAUGAACCACGCGCCGUGGCCCCAGCCCAGGGGAGAGGAAAGCACUCCGUUCCCGGCAGGCGGCGGCCUGUCUGCUGGGAGAGAAUCAUAAUGUAGGUUUCUUUCUGUGGCCCAACCCAUCCCCUGCAUAUUUCCAGAAGAGGGAACGCAAAAGGGAAAAGAACGAAGCCUCUACAAAUGCCUCGGGCUUUCAUCCCAGCACAUCUGAGCCACAUCCUAAGCAGACAGCAGUUACAAGGGAAGCUUAAAGUGGAGACUGUAUUCCACUGCAUGUUAACAAACAGUUUUGUUAUUUCUCUAACAACACGUGCAAGGUCACCUUGGAGUUAUGGAAUGGAGAGUGUGUGAGGUUCCCAUUUUUAUUUUUCUAGAUGUGCCACAAGGCUGGCCUAGGCUGGGAUUUCGCGCAGAACUCAGAGAGAAGUAGAAACCACUUGUCUCUUGAAGUUUGCCUGCUGGUCUCCUAGCAACCGGCUCCUUGUUGGAGGCACAGUUGAGGUGUCUGGGGACCCAGAAUGUGAAGAAGCACAUAUUCGCUUUUCCACCAGAUAAUGAAUUUUUGUGUGAUUGUUACAAAUACUCCAUUUAAGUGACAGUGGAUCUCCUGCUGGCUUUCCAGGUGGAGGAGAGAGACAAAGACCUGCUAGGCUGGCAUUGAAGUCCCUGGAGUCUCACCAUAGAACAGGCAUUGGCUGGAAGUACACCGUGUCUCACCAAACUCUGACCCAACUGGUAUCAAAGCCCUGGUUCCGUCAGUCUCCGAGGAAUGGUCUCCUGCCUGAUGCCUGGCAGAGGAGAGGGGAAGCGUCAGAUGGAGCCUUUACAGUCUUUCCUCAAAAUGCGUGGCAUACAAUAGAAAAUUAUCAAACAUG
Long non-coding RNA from Myotis brandtii (Brandt's bat), 957 nucleotides. RefSeq lists it as uncharacterized. The transcript is spliced from 2 exons. The record is from RefSeq and is a predicted model, not a curated record. NCBI's taxonomy places the organism in Eukaryota, Metazoa, Chordata, Mammalia, Chiroptera, Vespertilionidae.